CUGACGAUGGAUACUGACGGGUGGAUGUUCCUUUUAGCGCUUCACUUUAUUUGUGUGACUUCAAAUGACGAGCCGUACAAUAAGAGCUCUUGUGUGAAGGAUCCAGAUGUGUGUGAGAUGCACACACUCAGCACUCAGCUUGGCUCCUCUGUGCUUCUCCCAUGCAACUUUAAACCAAGUAACGUCAUCAGGGUGUCAUGGAGCCAAACUCCCGAUCUGCACCUGCUGCAGCUCACGUCUGCAGGUCGCAUCGUGUUCCUGAACCCCAGGUCUGGUCGUGUGAAGGCCUUUCCAAACCAGGGCCAAGAGGGGAACUUCUCCAUCAGCAUCAAUGAGCUAAACAACUCAGACCUGGGGUGUUAUGUCUGUACACGAGGAGAUGACUGUCUUCAAGUGGAGUUGGUUGCUGAACAUGGUGCUCAAAGCGUGAACAUGAUGCUACUGAUUUUCAUCACUGCUGGUGUGGCUGCUUUCAUCCUGCUAAGCGUCGGUGGCUACUGCUGCAUGAAGUUCUGCUGUAAAAACACAGCUUCGUACAACCCUGAAGGUGCAGAUAUGGAGGGUGUCAGUCCUUCACAAGAGGAAACAGGCAGAGUGCCAGACGGCCAACAGCAGGGAGGUGCAUACAAUCCUAAUCUUGUUUAUGAAAAUGAGGACCAAGGCCCAUUCAACCAGCAGGAGGAACCCGGAGAUUAUUGCAACACAGUUUCAGGAGCGAUGCCUCAUCCCGACCUGACUCUGCACCCUGACAGCAGCAGUGGGAUUUAUCCAAACCUCAACCAGAGUCAGAGGACUAAACUGAGAUUUCAUAGAGAACUCUUCAACAGAUUACGGCAAGCAAGUGUCAAGCGCCCUUAUUACGUUAACCAAGAUGAAAUGAGGCAACAACAAGCCAGUUCAAUUCUGGAGGAGAAGCGUCGCAGAGUUUGAUUGUUUGUUAUUGUGUUUGGCUGCAGGUUUGGGGAAGAAGAAAGCCAAAGAAAAUGCUGAAUUCAAAAACCCGAUAUACAACAGGAGCGUAGACCAGCUCAACCACCUAUAGAGAAUUAAAGAGAGUUUAAACAGCUGCUGAGAUAUUAGCAGUAUCAACAUCCUUUCCAAUCACGGUUGUGUUAACUAUUUUAACAUACUAUAACUUGAUACAUGUCUUGUUUGCUGCAUAAUAGUACAAUUUUUGUAUGUACCUCUAUAAGACAAUGACACAUUGUUGUUGGGUGAUGUUUAUCAAAUAAAG
RNA transcript from Gymnodraco acuticeps, 1234 nucleotides. RefSeq lists it as uncharacterized. Lineage: Eukaryota; Metazoa; Chordata; Actinopteri; Perciformes; Bathydraconidae. The record is from RefSeq and is a predicted model, not a curated record. The transcript has 11 exons.